UACGGAGGGUGCGAGCGUUGUCCGGAAUCAUUGGGCGUAAAGGGCGCGUAGGUGGCCCGGUCAGUCCGUGGUGAAAGCGCGGGGCUCAACCCCGCGUCGGCCAUGGAUACUGCUGGGCUGGAGCACUGUAGAGGCAGGCGGAAUUCCUGGUGUAGCGGUGAAAUGCGCAGAUAUCAGGAGGAACACCGGUGGCGAAGGCGGGUCUCUGGGCCGAUACUGACGCUGAGGAGCGAAAGCGUGGGGAGCGAACAGG
This 253-nucleotide ribosomal RNA is filed under the name uncultured bacterium. RNAcentral's name for it is "partial 16S ribosomal RNA". It matches the Rfam family "Bacterial small subunit ribosomal RNA", at positions 524 to 776 of the family's 1533-position model. The record is from RNAcentral.